GGAUCAACAAAGUCAUCAUAAUUUAAAUUACAAAAAGCACAUGAUGCAAUCGCAUGCGAGCAAGGAAUUCAAAAUGCUAUAAAUUCUCCACAAUCACAUGACCAUUCGUUCAAUUUGACAGUGCAUGCCAUUGCUCGUCGACUAAGCCGCAUAUUUGCAAUUUCUUGUACCUCAAACUCCCGUGUUUCUUAAACAUGCAUGCGAACAUAAUGCGAGGUAGCAAUGUGUUGAUUUUCUUGCAUCAUUACAUAUACGUCUUCAGAGUUCCUAUGUCCUGCCUUUAUCAUAUUCAUGAUUUUCAUGCCAUUAUUAACAAAUGAAUCAUUUAUUUUAUUAAAUGUUUCAUUGAUUAAGAUAGUAAUAGGUAAUGCUCGGGCUCCUUUCAAAACAGAAUUCAUACAUUCGGCAAGGUUGGUAGUCAUACGGUCAUACUGUUUCCUUCAUCGUAGGCCUGAGUCCAUUUACUCUUGGGAAUCUGGUCCAACCAAUCUGCUGCUUGUGGAAACUCUACUCGCAUUGCGAGCAACUUUGCCUCAAAUCAUGGUUUCCUCAUCUCAUAUCUUAUGGCAAAAGAUAAAAUAAUGAGUAAUAAAUAUGGUAAAGAUGUAAUAAAACAAGAAUUUGAUGCAUGAAAUGGUUAGAAGCAUACUCAUAUUGAUGUCUUGUGUUUUUAAGUCAACAUUUUUAAACUGUUUGUUGAAAUU
This 704-nucleotide long non-coding RNA is filed under the name Glycine max (soybean). RNAcentral describes it as "long non-coding RNA (GMAX_LNC004169)". Lineage: Eukaryota; Viridiplantae; Streptophyta; Magnoliopsida; Fabales; Fabaceae. The record is from RNAcentral.